RNAcentral lists this ribosomal RNA (326 nucleotides) under uncultured eukaryote. Its description in RNAcentral is "partial 18S ribosomal RNA". It matches the Rfam family "Eukaryotic small subunit ribosomal RNA", at positions 1470 to 1796 of the family's 1831-position model. The record is from RNAcentral.
CCCUUAGAUGUUCUGGGCCGCACGCGCGCUACACUGAUGAAUUCAACGAGCACUAACCUGUGCCGAAAGGUUCGGGUAAUCUUGUGAAAUUUCAUCGUGAUGGGGAUUGAUUAUUGCAAUUUUUAAUCAUAAACGAGGAAUGCCUAGUAAGCGUGAGUCAUCAGCUCACGUUGAUUACGUCCCUGCCCUUUGUACACACCGCCCGUCGCUCCUACCGAUUGAAUGUGCCAGUGAAAAGUUCGGAUUGGGCGUGGGAGACGGCAACGUAUCCCACAUCCGAGAAAAUCUUUAAACUUUCCCAUUUAGAGGAAGGAGAAGUCGUAACA